GGGGUAACAUGGGCGCAGCCUGAUCCAUGCAUGCCGCGUGUGUGAAGAAGGACUUCGGAUUGUAAAGCACUUUCGGCGGGGACGAUGAUGACGGUACCCGCAGAAGAAGCCCCGGCUAACUUCGUGCCAGCAGCCGCGGUAAUACGAAGGGGGUUAGCGUUGCUCGGAAUGACUGGGCGUAAAGGGCGCGUAGGCGGAUGACAUAGUCGGGCGUGAAAUUCCUGGGCUCAACCUGGGGACUGCGUUCGAGACGUGUUGUCUUGAGUUCGGAAGAGGGUCGUGGAAUUCCCAGUGUAGAGGUGAAAUUCGUAGAUAUUGGGAAGAACACCGGUGGCGAAGGCGGCGACCUGGUCCGAUACUGACGCUGAGGCGCGAAAGCGUGGGGAGCAAACAGGAUUAGAUACCCUGGUAGUCCACGCUGUAAACGAUGUGCGCUGGAUGUUGGGUGACCUAGUCACUCAGUGUCGUAGCUAACGCGAUAAGCGCACCGCCUGGGGAGUACGGCCGCAAGG
Molecule: ribosomal RNA, 512 nt
Filed under: uncultured bacterium
Lineage: Bacteria
Description: bacterial SSU rRNA
Rfam family: Bacterial small subunit ribosomal RNA
Source: RNAcentral